UCCUGGCUUCUGAAUCUGCAGCUAGCAGCUCCUUGCAAGUUGCUAAGCUGGUGCGCUGUGCUGCUGUGCUGAACAAGGGGUGUGUGUGUGGGUGUGUAGCAAGAUGAGGUGCGCAGGUGUUUUCCUGGCACUUCUGCUCUCCCUGUCCGCACUAUCUGCCUCCACUGCUGAAACACACAAGGAACGAUUGGGCGACGCUGCAGCAUUGUUAACCACGGGCCGGAAAUGGUUGAGUGGACGCAGGACAUUGGCAGAUGCCCGGAAGGAUGAGGUGAUGGAACAAGGGAGGAGGGGAGCCAAGAGCACAGGUGCAAACACUGCCCAUGUCCAUGGAGCGGACAAAACUGUAGAGGUUACCGUUGUCGGGUUGGGUGGUGAGAGUGCUGCGCGCAGGAGCGUCGGCAAGAGCGGCAAAUCUGCCGGCCUCGUGCCCUUCUGUGCCGAUUACCGCACGCCGAGAACUCACCCGCCAAGGAAUAACUGAAAAGUAAAGCAGGCAAAUACUUCCUUCCUGGUUGGUUCUAGCCUCUGAUAAAAGAUAGUACAGUAUCUUCCAACUAAUCCACUAAUCUCCUACUGGUAUUGCUCUCAUGCUGCAUUGCGUAGUGAAGUGUAAUUGUUGCCUUUCUGAAUGUAGAUCACCGGUACGUAGGAAUAGAUGUAUAGCAUGAACACUGAGAUUUGGAUGAUGUGCUGAAACAUUUUGAUCUCGUUGUUGCAGCAGGAACAAAUCAGGAAGCGGAUGCACCUGCUGAAGCUGUACAUGACUCGGGUAAAAGGAGUAAGAAGGGCUCGGCAACCCAUGCCACGUUCCAAGCAUCGUCAAGGCAUGGCGGUGGCGGCUCGGAUGCUUCAGAACCUGAGAUCCUCGGCAUGGACUACAACCUGAACCUGAAUCCUCGUCGCCAUCGCCCGAUCAACAACGACGCUCCGCUGGGUCUGGGUGAGCUCGCCGCCAAGACACCUUAGGACUUCCGACUUUGCCUUGGGUAGCUCCGGCCUCCGGAGGCAUGAAGAAGCUGAAUCUUGAGCUGCUUCAUACUAGAUAGGAGUACAUCUGACCACAGUAGCCAUUAGCAGAUGGUGGUUAGCUUAGCUAGCUAGGAACUCGCUCUCCACGCCACACGUAGCCCAUGCUUGGCACUCAUGGAAUGGAACAAUCUGUCACUGUACUGGGCGAUUUUGGUUGUAAUGUGCUUGCAUGGAGAGCAUUUGUAACUAGUCAUCAGCAGACAGCAGCGUUUCUGAAG
Sorghum bicolor (sorghum) is the source of this 1250-nucleotide long non-coding RNA. RefSeq lists it as uncharacterized. Lineage: Eukaryota; Viridiplantae; Streptophyta; Magnoliopsida; Poales; Poaceae. The transcript is spliced from 3 exons. The record is from RefSeq and is a predicted model, not a curated record.